CCGAUAUAAAGGAGGAGAGGCAAUCAGAUCCUGUCGACCAGCUCUAAGCAGGAACAGUUCAAGAUGAAGAACCUCGCCAUCAGUAUGUUUCUCGUACUAGAACGCAACAUCCUUAAUUCAAGCUGCAACCUCUGUGCCCAACAGACGAGGACAAGGAGCAAGCGAAGAAGAAAACUAAAGAGAAGAAAGGCCGACUGGCCGACAGAGGCACAAGAUGAGUCUGUUACAUUCUGACGACUCGUGUUAUAAUACACCACGACACUUCCCUCAACACCUGAAGCUUAUAUAAGAUGGGAAAUGCAGAAAAUCAAAGUUUGGAGAUAAAUUUAGAGUGCAUACCUCAAAACGUGGUGUUUUUUUUUUUUUGCCUUCAGAACAGAAACUGCUUUGCAGACUUCGACACCCGUUAAGACCCGAAGGCCCCGUUUGUUGACAGCCAAAUGUCGCUUCUCAGGCGUUGGCCUGCCUACCUACUGCGGAGAAACACGAGCCAUGCCAGCGCAGAGUCCGGCGGCGCUCAUAAGAUAAAAAAAGACGUCUUGGGCGAAGAACAGUGCGGCUGACUUCAGAGAAUUUUCGAACCAUGCCAGUCCUUGACGUCGCCUGUCAUAUGGAUCAAGAUGAUGUUGGCGUUCUUCCAAGAUUCUGGUAUCCUCCCCAUCGAGAGACACUUCGUAUACAGGGUGGCCAGUUCUUCUGACAUAAUCUCUCCACCGUCUUUCAACAGCGUCUCAAAAGGCAUGACAUCGGAUGUCGUCUGGCUUCAGAAUGCUAAUAGCUACCAGUAUAAAAGACGCUAGAAAUUCAGAUCCUGUCAACCAGCUCGAAGUACGAAGAGUUCGAGAUGAAGGGCCGCACCAUUACUUUGGUUCUAGUAGUAGUGCUGUGUGCGAUAAUCAGUUCCGAUUACGUCGAUGGAAAACCUGGGGAACUGGCAGAUAAGGUCGUCGUCGCACUCGGAGAAGUAGAAGCAAGAAGUCUGUAUCUGCCACACCAACGUCAACAUGUACAGGUCGAGGCGCGUGAAAGAACGAAAGAGCCACACGCUAAACGACCAGGUCCAACGCGGAGAAGUCCUUAUUUCUACCAGGGAAAACGUCACACUCGCAGGCAAAGGACGAACUUCAAUAUCAGUGCCCCUAACCCACCUUAAUUCUGUUUGGACUAAAGAAGCACCACCCGGGCUAUUUUAUAACUGAUGUUUGUUGUAGUUAUUGCUGGUUAUGGCUCGUUACAAAUAGUUGAAGGAAUUCAGCUGAACCCAAUAAAUAUGAAAAAGAUGUCUUAAUGAAGAAGUAAAUGAAAGCGUCAGCGUCAGUCUUUUCAAAAUGAUAAGACGGCUUUGGCAACGAAAGACCACUGCGUAUUUAUUUGUACUGCGGCGGCACUUGCGCAAAACGUUUAAAAUAAAUUUUUCGCCUACAAG
RNA transcript from Rhipicephalus sanguineus (brown dog tick), 1426 nucleotides. RefSeq lists it as uncharacterized. The record is from RefSeq and is a predicted model, not a curated record. NCBI's taxonomy places the organism in Eukaryota, Metazoa, Arthropoda, Arachnida, Ixodida, Ixodidae. The transcript has 7 exons.